Molecule: ribosomal RNA, 349 nt
Filed under: uncultured bacterium
Lineage: Bacteria
Description: bacterial SSU rRNA
Rfam family: Bacterial small subunit ribosomal RNA
Source: RNAcentral
AGAGUUUGAUCAUGGCUCAGGAUGAACGCUAGCUACAGGCUUAACACAUGCAAGUCGAGGGGAAACGACAUCGAAAGCUUGCUUUUGAUGGGCGUCGACCGGCGCACGGGUGAGUAACGCGUAUCCAACCUGCCCAUCACUUGGGGAUAACCUUGCGAAAGUAAGACUAAUACCCAAUGAUAUCUCUAGAAGGCAUCUGAAAGAGAUUAAAGAUUUANCGGUGAUGGAUGGGGAUGCGUCUGAUUAGCUUGUUGGCGGGGUAACGGCCACCAAAGCAACGAUCAGUAGGGGUUCUGAGAGGAAGGUCCCCACAUUGGAACUGAGACACGGUCCAACUCCUACGGAGGCA